Molecule: ribosomal RNA, 465 nt
Filed under: uncultured bacterium
Lineage: Bacteria
Description: partial 16S ribosomal RNA
Rfam family: Bacterial small subunit ribosomal RNA
Source: RNAcentral
CCUACGGGAGGCAGCAGUAGGGAAUCUUCCACAAUGGGCGAAAGCCUGAUGGAGCAACGCCGCGUGGGUGAAGAAGGUCUUCGGAUCGUAAAACCCUGUUUUUAGAGAAGAAAGUGCGUGAGAGUAACUGUUCACGUUUCGACGGUAUCUAACCAGAAAGCCACGGCUAACUACGUGCCAGCAGCCGCGGUAAUACGUAGGUGGCAAGCGUUCUCCGGAUUUAUUGGGCGUAAAGGGAACGCAGGCGGUCUUUUAAGUCUGAUGUGAAAGCCUUCGGCUUAACCGGAGUAUUGCAUUGGAAACUGGGAGACGUGAGUGCAGAAGAGGAGAGUGGAACUCCAUGUGUAGCGGUGAAAUGCGUAGAUAUAUGGAAGAACACCAGUGGCGAAAGCGGCUCUCUGGUCUGUAACUGACGCUGAGGUUCGAAAGCGUGGGUAGCAAACAGGAUUAGAUACCCCUGUAGUC